Molecule: long non-coding RNA, 245 nt
Filed under: Rosa chinensis
Lineage: Eukaryota; Viridiplantae; Streptophyta; Magnoliopsida; Rosales; Rosaceae
Description: sRNA RchiOBHm_Chr6g0280271
Source: RNAcentral
AUGUUUCCGUCAGUGAAAGUGGAACAAAUUCAACAACUUCUCAUCCAUCCACUUUCUAGGUCUCUCUCUCGAUACCGCCACCACCCGUAACCGAGCCCUAAUCAAAUCGCCGCCUUCCUCCUUCUAAUCAAAUCGCCCAUCACUCGAACAAUUUCCGAUUCGGGUCAUUGGUGUGUGGUUUCUCAUUGGACUCCUCCUGAGGCUUGAUUGAGUCGACGAAGUGAGACGAUAGAACUUAUGCCAUG